CGACGUGGUGUUCGCCGGGGGGCCCCGUGAGCUCCUGGCCAAGUUUGGUGCCUCGGGCCACCGGGUGCUCUUCUCGGCCGAGGCCUUCUGCUGGCCCGAGUGGAGCCUGGCCGAGGCCUACCCGCCCGCGGGCACCGGCAAGCGCUACCUCAACUCCGGGGGCUUCGUGGGCUUCGCCCCCGCCAUCGCCCGGCUCGUGGAGCGCUGGAAGUACCGGGAUGACGAUGACGACCAGCUCUUCUACACCCGCCUCUACCUGGACCCCCGGCUGCGGGCGGAGCUGGGGAUGGCCCUGGAUCACGGCUC
Tinamus guttatus (white-throated tinamou) is the source of this 306-nucleotide non-coding RNA. NCBI's taxonomy places the organism in Eukaryota, Metazoa, Chordata, Aves, Tinamiformes, Tinamidae. The record is from RefSeq and is a predicted model, not a curated record.